This 69-nucleotide transfer RNA is filed under the name Champsodon cf. snyderi CBM-ZF 10876. RNAcentral describes it as "tRNA-Met". It matches the Rfam family "tRNA". Rfam says of the family: Transfer RNA (tRNA) molecules are approximately 80 nucleotides in length. Their secondary structure includes four short double-helical elements and three loops (D, anti-codon, and T loops). The record is from RNAcentral. Lineage: Eukaryota; Metazoa; Chordata; Actinopteri; Acropomatiformes; Champsodontidae.
GGUUAAGUAUGCUAAUUAAGCCCCUGGGCCCAUACCCCAGUUAUGUUGGUUAAAACCCCUCCUUAACUA